Small nucleolar RNA from Solanum stenotomum, 107 nucleotides. The record is from RefSeq and is a predicted model, not a curated record. Lineage: Eukaryota; Viridiplantae; Streptophyta; Magnoliopsida; Solanales; Solanaceae.
AUGCCAUGAUUUGGACAUUGUAACAUCCACCUUUUGAAAUACAGCCAUGAUUCAAGAAUUUCUUCACCAUUUAUCCUUUUAAAGUUUUGGAUACCAUUUCUCAACUU